CAGCCCCAGGUAGGCCCUCAGAGGCCCAGGUGGGGAGGAGUCUGCUAACUGGAGGACCAGGGCAGCUCCCCACCCACGCACACACCUCCUGGGCGUGGGCUGCCCAGCCUGCCCCUCCCGGGGCCUCCCACUCCAGCCAGGCUCAAAACGCUCCUCAAAAGCGCCAGCACAUGCCAGCCUCCAGGCCCCGACCGGGCAGUGCCCUCUGCUGGAACGCCGGAGGUCUGGCCGGGGCCGUCGGUGGCUUAGGAUGAAUGUUCCCAGGCUUCAGCCCCCUUCGCCCACGGCCUGUUUCCUCCCGGACGAACUGAGCGAACAACCCCGAACAUCUAUUGAGCGCCGGUUGCAUGCUGAGCGUUCAACCUGCUUCCUCAAAGUUCGUCCUCCCAACAGCCCACAAUGAGUGGGUAAACUGAGGUCUCAGUCUUCACAUCUGACAAAUGGGUGCGCCGUACCCAAGCUAGAGGGGAGCUUUUGUGCACCAGAGCUGGUCCCUUCCCUGCGCCCCGGUGGCCUCAGAAUAAAGUCAGACACCCCCUCCACCCUCACCUCCCUUCACUCUCUCGCUCAAUCACUCCGGUCCAGCCACAGGCAUCCCUGCUGGUCCUCACACAGAACAACACACCCAUCUCAGGACCUUUGCACGUGCUGGUCCCUCUUCCUGAACCGCCUCCCCUCAGCUCUUCCUCCUGACUGGCUCCGGAGGUCUCAGCUCAAAUGCCACCACCCUGGCCAAAGUAGCCUCCCCUCCCCCCAGUUUCAAAUCCAUGAGAGGAAAAAGGAUGUAGGGUUAACUGGAUAGUCAUACAAAAAAGUGUAAAAUCAGGUCUGUACCUCACCGGGUG
Molecule: long non-coding RNA, 845 nt
Filed under: Equus caballus (horse)
Lineage: Eukaryota; Metazoa; Chordata; Mammalia; Perissodactyla; Equidae
Description: lncRNA (ENSECAG00000059487.1)
Source: RNAcentral